Molecule: long non-coding RNA, 1104 nt
Filed under: Marmota monax (woodchuck)
Lineage: Eukaryota; Metazoa; Chordata; Mammalia; Rodentia; Sciuridae
Source: RNAcentral
UGGAAGGUGAUCAGGUCAUGGGGGCACCACCCUCAAAAUAGGUUAAUGCUGAUCUUUCAAAGAGUAUUGUGUUGGCAAGAAUGGGUUUUUAUAAAGAAAGUUCCCUUUAGCUCCCUCUUUUGCUUCUUGUCUCAUCACGUGACCUCUUUCUUGAAUGAGCUCCCACCAUUAUGAUACCGUCUGCCACAAGGCCCUCACUAGAGCCAACCAGGUGCUGGCACCAUGUUCUUGAGUCUCCGGGAAUGUGAGUGAAAGAAAUCUCUUAUCUUUACAAGUCGUCCAGUUUCAGGUAUUUUAUAAUAGCAACACAAAACAGACUAAGACAAUACUGGAGGACUUAUUUCUCUGUUGGUAGUGCUGUAUGCAGAAACCUCAGCCUCAGUCCUGGGCAAUAUUUGCUCUGGCUAAAGAAAUUGCCCUGCUCAAGGUCACAUGCUUCCCUUCUGCUGCAGCCAACAUCCAAAGACUGAAGGAAAAUGCCAUUGAAGCGUACUGGCUUAUUAGUGAUUUCUGGGAUCUCUAAACAGAGCAAGUACUUUGCUUGGGGUAGUUUAUUAGUACAUUUCUGUUUAUUGGAGUUGGAAGCUAGUAAGGAUGACUUUAAUACCAAAGUGAGGAGCCAAGUGGUUCAGCAGGGAAGCUUCCAGGUUUGGAGCAGGAUUUAGUGAUGAUGUAGGUUGAGGUUAAGGAAUUUAAUGAGCAGGAUUCUACCUACAAAUAAUGUUCACUUUUUCUCCUGAAACCUUUUCCCUUUUACAGUAUAUGCUAUAAAACACAGUAAGUGAACAUCAUUUAAUUUUGCUCACUCGUGUUUCAUUUGUGAUCAUCUCUUCCCAUCAAAGUACAUAAGUUCUUUCAGAAUAAGGACCAGUUUUUAAGCAACUCUGUUUUCUAUAGCACUGGACAUCAUGCUGUCUUAGAAGACACACAUUUGCCAAUCAGCUUAUUUCUAACACAGCUAGUGGGUACAGUUUACCUUCUCCAAUUCCUAGGUGUUGUGGCAAAUCAGGUUUUCAGUUUUAUUUGCUGAGUAGGUGUCAUAGGGAAGAGCCCCGGGGGAGGAAGUUGCUACAGAUGAAGGGAAAACAAACUAUGAUCCCAAAG